RNAcentral lists this non-coding RNA (42 nucleotides) under Odontella aurita. The record is from RNAcentral. Lineage: Eukaryota; Bacillariophyta; Thalassiosirophyceae; Eupodiscales; Odontellaceae.
CCGUCGAUUUGCGAAUGUUCACUGCCAUUUAAUGUAUUAGUG